RNAcentral lists this non-coding RNA (36 nucleotides) under Geobacter sulfurreducens PCA. Lineage: Bacteria; Pseudomonadati; Thermodesulfobacteriota; Desulfuromonadia; Geobacterales; Geobacteraceae. The record is from RNAcentral.
GUCUCGAUAGCCGCCGUGUUUUCGCCGACGGUGGUC